Small nuclear RNA from Gorilla gorilla gorilla (western lowland gorilla), 94 nucleotides. The record is from Ensembl. Lineage: Eukaryota; Metazoa; Chordata; Mammalia; Primates; Hominidae.
GUGCUCACUUCCGCAGCACAUGUAUUAAAAAAUCGGAACAAUACGGGCCCUGCGCAAAGAUGACAUGCAAAUUCAUGAAGUGUUGCAUAUUUUU